GGGGAUUUAGCUUAGUGGCAGAGCACUUGCCUAGCAAGCACAAGGCCCUGGGUUCGGUCCCCAGCUCCG
Molecule: transfer RNA, 69 nt
Filed under: Rattus norvegicus (Norway rat)
Lineage: Eukaryota; Metazoa; Chordata; Mammalia; Rodentia; Muridae
Rfam family: tRNA
About the family: Transfer RNA (tRNA) molecules are approximately 80 nucleotides in length. Their secondary structure includes four short double-helical elements and three loops (D, anti-codon, and T loops).
Source: Rfam by way of RNAcentral